RNAcentral lists this ribosomal RNA (500 nucleotides) under uncultured bacterium. RNAcentral describes it as "bacterial SSU rRNA". It matches the Rfam family "Bacterial small subunit ribosomal RNA", at positions 25 to 518 of the family's 1533-position model. The record is from RNAcentral.
CAAGAUGAACGCUAGCGACAGGCUUAACACAUGCAAGUCGAGGGGCAGCAUAGAAGUAGCAAUACUUGGUGGCGACCGGCGCACGGGUGAGUAACGCGUAUGCAACCUACCUAUCAGAGGGGAAUAACCCGGCGAAAGUCGGACUAAUACCGCAUAAAACAGGGGCACCGCAUGGUGAUAUUUGUUAAAGAAAUUCGCUGAUAGAUGGGCAUGCGUUCCAUUAGGUAGUUGGUGAGGUAACGGCUCACCAAGCCGACGAUGGAUAGGGGAACUGAGAGGUUGGUCCCCCACACUGGUACUGAGACACGGACCAGACUCCUACGGGAGGCAGCAGUGAGGAAUAUUGGUCAAUGGGCGGGAGCCUGAACCAGCCAAGUCGCGUGAAGGAAGAAGGAUCUAUGGUUCGUAAACUUCUUUUGCAGGGGAAUAAAGUGCAGGACGUGUCCUGUUUUGUAUGUACCCUGAGAAUAAGGAUCGGCUAACUCCGUGCCAGCCGCGGC